GUUUGCCUAGGGCGCAGCAGUGGGGGAUAUUGCACAAUGGGGGAAACCCUGAUGCAGCGACGCCGCGUGGGUGAAGAAGCGCCUCGGCGCGUAAAGCCCUGUCAGCAGGGAAGAAAGUGACGGUACCUGAUGAAUAAGCUCCGGCUAACUACGUGCCAGCAGCCGCGGUAAUACGUAGGGAGCAAGCGUUAUCCGGAUUUACUGGGUGUAAAGGGCGCGUAGGCGGGAUGGCAAGUCAGAUGUGAAAUCCGGGGGCUCAACCCCUGAACUGCAUUUGAAACUGUCGUUCUUGAGUACUGGAGAGG
This 305-nucleotide ribosomal RNA is filed under the name uncultured bacterium. Its description in RNAcentral is "bacterial SSU rRNA". It matches the Rfam family "Bacterial small subunit ribosomal RNA", at positions 333 to 657 of the family's 1533-position model. The record is from RNAcentral.